This 253-nucleotide ribosomal RNA is filed under the name uncultured bacterium. RNAcentral's name for it is "partial 16S ribosomal RNA". It matches the Rfam family "Bacterial small subunit ribosomal RNA", at positions 524 to 776 of the family's 1533-position model. The record is from RNAcentral.
UACGUGGGGGGCAAGCGUUGUUCGGAAUUACUGGGCGUAAAGGGUGCGUAGGCGGCUUUCUAAGUUGGAUGUGAAAACUAUGGGCUCAACCCAUAGCCUGCAUCCAAAACUGGAGAGCUUGGGUUCUGGAGGGGAAAGCGGAAUUCCUGGUGUAGCGGUGAAAUGCGUAGAUAUCAGGAGGAACACCGGUGGCGAAGGCGGCUUUCUGGACAGACACCGACGCUGAGGCACGAAAGCUAGGGGAGCAAACAGG